UACAGAGGGGGCAAGCGUUGUUCGGAUUCACUGGGCGUAAAGGGUGCGUAGGUGGUGAGGUAAGUCGGAUGUGAAAGCUCCGAGCUCAACUCGGAAAUGGCAUUGGAAACUACCUUGCUCGAGGGUUUGAGGGGGGACUGGAAUACUUGGUGUAGCAGUGAAAUGCGUAGAUAUCAAGUAGAACACCAGUGGCGAAGGCGAGUCCCUGGAAAACUCCUGACACUGAGGCACGAAAGCUAGGGGAGCAAACAGG
RNAcentral lists this ribosomal RNA (253 nucleotides) under uncultured bacterium. RNAcentral's name for it is "partial 16S ribosomal RNA". It matches the Rfam family "Bacterial small subunit ribosomal RNA", at positions 524 to 776 of the family's 1533-position model. The record is from RNAcentral.